RNAcentral lists this non-coding RNA (21 nucleotides) under Mus musculus (house mouse). Lineage: Eukaryota; Metazoa; Chordata; Mammalia; Rodentia; Muridae. The record is from RNAcentral.
CGGCUAAGCACUGCAAUGGAA